AUGCCUCAACCCGAACCACAAGUUGGUCUUUCCCUCUUCUCUUCUUUGGUAGAUCCAUCUAUCCCACCAGGAACAUUGCAGGGGCCUUCCGAAAUGGAGCCGCUUCUCUCUGCAAUCGUGGGUGAUCUUGUCAGCAGAGCCCUGUCCAUGGUAACCCAGAGAUACCUGCAGUCCAAGGGAGCAGAGGAGGAGAAGCUCCAGAGGCUACGGGCAGUGCUGCUAAGGAUCGAUGCCACCGUCGAGGAGGCCGAGGGGAGGCACAUCACCAACCAGGCAAUGCUCCAGCAGCUCCAGAUGUUGAGACGAGGUAUGUACAGAGGCUACUACACGCUCGACACCUUCAGAUACCGAGCGCACAGGGACGAGGCCGAUGGCAAGGCAAGCACUCGCCGUUCGCUUGCCCUGUCCAGAUUCAGCCCUUCCAGUUCCAGACGUACCUCCUCCUCCGUGUGCGACGCCCAGAGGAUGGACCUGGUGCUUGAUGCCGGGAGCUGCAACAAUCUCGACAAGAUGCUCAGCAGCCUUGAGAGAAUGAUUGGUGACAUGCAGGAGUUCGUGAUGUUCUUGGGCAGCUAUCCUCGAAUCUCCCAGCAACCUUACGACGCGUAUUUGUUUCAUGAUCAGGUUAUGUUUGGCCGGCAGAUGGAAAAGGAGACAAUUUUGAGCUUUCUGCUUUGUAGAGAGGCUGCAAGGAAUGGAAGUCUGGGUGUGCUGCCGAUAAUUGGUCCAGCGAGAGUCGGAAAGAGUACACUUGUUGAGCAUGUCUGCCUUGACGAGAGGGUGCGGAGGCGCUUCUCGUCGAUCGUCUUCUUCAGCGGAAAUGAUCUCAAUGGUGGAAACUUGGCCACUCUAAAAGGGGACAUGGACGAGGAAACAUGGAGGGGGUUGUACACCUCGGCAGCAAGCCACCUGACGCCAGGCAGUAAAAUCAUACUCACCAGCCGUUCAGAGAAGAUAGCAUCAUUAGGAACGGCACAGUCUCUUGUGCUGAAAUUUUUGUCCCAAGAAGCUUACUGGUAUUUCUUCAAGACGGCUGCAUUCGGAAGCACAGACCCUGGUGAGCAUCCUAACCUGGCAGCCCUCGGCAUGGAGAUCGUCGUCCACAUGAACAGAUCAUUCGUGGCAGCGAACACCGUUGCCAGCUUACUGAGAACCAAUCUUGACACACGGUUUUGGCGCAGAGUGCUGAGAUGCUUGAGAGAUUUUGCAAGCAAGCACCUCAGCAUGUUUGGCGAGCACCCGACCAAUCUCCUGCAGAAGGACCAGCCUGUGUACAUGUGGACAAUGGCCAAGACAAGCAAUGUCGUCGUAAUGCGUGAUAUUUAUCAUGAGCCCUCUCCCAAGAUCAGUGAGGUUCCCAGGAUAACGGCACAGGAUGUUUUGUCUGGGCGAGUUAUGUCUGAAGGGACAUUCCAAGCAGUGGCAUGGAGGUCCAGGAUACCUCCCUGCUACACCUACUUAGUGAGCUUCAUUGUGUCACGGACAGACAAGCACGCGGUGCUCGGUAAGAAGCGGUCUCGGCAGGAGAGAAUUUGA
This 1536-nucleotide ribosomal RNA is filed under the name Triticum aestivum (bread wheat). Its description in RNAcentral is "partial small subunit ribosomal RNA". Lineage: Eukaryota; Viridiplantae; Streptophyta; Magnoliopsida; Poales; Poaceae. The record is from RNAcentral.